This 497-nucleotide ribosomal RNA is filed under the name uncultured bacterium. Its description in RNAcentral is "partial 16S ribosomal RNA". It matches the Rfam family "Bacterial small subunit ribosomal RNA", at positions 28 to 507 of the family's 1533-position model. The record is from RNAcentral.
GAUGAACGCUGGCGGCGUGCCUAAUACAUGCAAGUCGAGCGAACAGAUAAGGAGCUUGCUCCUUUGACGUUAGCGGCGGACGGGUGAGUAACACGUGGAUAACCUACCUAUAAGACUGGGAUAACUUCGGGAAACCGGAGCUAAUACCGGAUAACAUAUUGAACCGCAUGGUUCAAUAGUGAAAGGCGGCUUUGCUGUCACUUAUAGAUGGAUCCGCGCCGUAUUAGCUAGUUGGUAAGGUAACGGCUUACCAAGGCAACGAUGCGUAGCCGACCUGAGAGGGUGAUCGGCCACACUGGAACUGAGACACGGUCCAGACUCCUACGGGAGGCAGCAGUAGGGAAUCUUCCGCAAAGGGCGAAAGCCUGACGGAGCAACGCCGCGUGAGUGAUGAAGGUCUUCGGAUCGUAAAACUCUGUUAUCAGGGAAGAACAAAUGUGUAAGUAACUGUGCACAUCUUGACGGUACCUGAUCAGAAAGCCACGGCUAACUACGUG